UACGGAGGGUGCAAGCGUUAUCCGGAUUCACUGGGUUUAAAGGGUGCGUAGGUGGGUUGGUAAGUCAGUGGUGAAAUCUCCGAGCUUAACUUGGAAACUGCCAUUGAUACUAUUAAUCUUGAAUACCGUGGAGGUCAGCGGAAUAUGUCAUGUAGCGGUGAAAUGCUUAGAUAUGACAUAGAACACCAAUUGCGAAGGCAGCUGGCUACACGAAUAUUGACACUGAGGCACGAAAGCGUGGGGAUCAAACAGGAUUAGAAACCCCUGUAGU
Molecule: ribosomal RNA, 271 nt
Filed under: uncultured bacterium
Lineage: Bacteria
Description: partial 16S ribosomal RNA
Rfam family: Bacterial small subunit ribosomal RNA
Source: RNAcentral